This 672-nucleotide ribosomal RNA is filed under the name Enterobacteriaceae bacterium RF230. RNAcentral describes it as "bacterial SSU rRNA". It matches the Rfam family "Bacterial small subunit ribosomal RNA", at positions 53 to 716 of the family's 1533-position model. The record is from RNAcentral. Lineage: Bacteria; Pseudomonadati; Pseudomonadota; Gammaproteobacteria; Enterobacterales; Enterobacteriaceae.
ACAUGCAGUCGACGGUAACAGGAAGCAGCUUGCUGCUUCGCUGACGAGUGGCGGACGGGUGAGUAAUGUCUGGGAAACUGCCCGAUGGAGGGGGAUAACUACUGGAAACGGUAGCUAAUACCGCAUAAUGUCGCAAGACCAAAGAGGGGGACCUUCGGGCCUCUUGCCAUCGGAUGUGCCCAGAUGGGAUUAGCUUGUUGGUGAGGUAACGGCUCACCAAGGCGACGAUCCCUAGCUGGUCUGAGAGGAUGACCAGCCACACUGGAACUGAAACACGGUCCAGACUCCUACGGGAGGCAGCAGUGGGGAAUAUUGCACAAUGGGCGCAAGCCUGAUGCAGCCAUGCCGCGUGUAUGAAGAAAGCCUUCCGGUUGUAAAGUACUUUCAGCGGGGAGGAAGGGGUUAAGGUUAAUAACCUUAGCCAUUGACGUUACCCGCAGAAGAAGCACCGGCUAACUCCGUGCCAGCAGCCGCGGUAAUACCGAGGGUGCAAGCGUUAAUCGGAAUUACUGGGCGUAAAGCGCACGCAGGCGGUCUGUCAAGUCGGAUGUGAAAUCCCCGGGCUCAACCUGGGAACUGCAUUCCAAACUGGCAGGCUUGAGUCUCGUAGAAGGGGGUAGAAUUCCAGGUGUAGCGGUGAAAUGCGUAGAGAUCUGGAGGAAUACCGGUGGC